Molecule: non-coding RNA, 135 nt
Organism: Triticum aestivum (bread wheat)
Lineage: Eukaryota; Viridiplantae; Streptophyta; Magnoliopsida; Poales; Poaceae
Source: Rfam
CAACUACUCUCUCCGUCCGGAAAUAUUUGUCAUCGAAAUGAUCAAAAGGGGAUGUAUCUAGAUGUAUUUUAGGUCUAGAUACAUCCCUUUUUAUUUAUUUUGAUGACAAGUAUUUUCGGACGGAGGGAGUAUAUA